AGAGUUUGAUCAUGGCUCAGAUUGAACGCUGGCGGAAUGCUUUACACAUGCAAGUCGAGCGGCAGCGCGGGGCAACCUGGCGGCGAGCGGCGAACGGGUGAGUAAUGCAUCGGAACGUGUCCAUGUCGUGGGGGAUAGCCCGGCGAAAGCCGGAUUAAUACCGCAUACGCCCGAGAGGGGAAAGUGGGGGACCGCAAGGCCUCACGCGAUUGGAUCGGCCGAUGUCCGAUUAGCUAGUUGGCGGGGUAAAGGCCCACCAAGGCGAUGAUCGGUAGCUGGUCUGAGAGGAUGAUCAGCCACACUGGGACUGAGACACGGCCCAGACUCCUACGGGAGGCAGCAGUGGGGAAUUUUGGACAAUGGGGGCAACCCUGAUCCAGCCAUUCCGCGUGAGUGAAGAAGGCCUUCGGGUUGUAAAGCUCUUUUGUCCGGAACGAAACGGGCGACGUGAAUAUCGUCGUCUACUGACGGUACCGGAAGAAUAAGCACCGGCUAACUACGUGCCAGCAGCCGCGGUAAUACGUAGGGUGCGAGCGUUAAUCGGAAUUACUGGGCGUAAAGCGUGCGCAGGCGGUUUUGUAAGCCGGAUGUGAAAUCCCCGGGCUUAACCUGGGAAUGGCAUUCGGGACUGCAAGGCUGGAGUGCGGCAGAGGAGACUGGAAUUCCUGGUGUAGCAGUGAAAUGCGUAGAUAUCAGGAGGAACACCGAUGGCGAAGGCAGGUCUCUGGGCUGACACUGACGCUCAUGCACGAAAGCGUGGGGAGCAAACAGGAUUAGAUACCCUAGUAGUCC
RNAcentral lists this ribosomal RNA (792 nucleotides) under uncultured bacterium. RNAcentral's name for it is "bacterial SSU rRNA". It matches the Rfam family "Bacterial small subunit ribosomal RNA", at positions 8 to 796 of the family's 1533-position model. The record is from RNAcentral.